CCUACGGGUGGCAGCAGUGAGGAAUAUUGGUCAAUGGGCUUACGCCUGAACCAGCCACGUCGCGUGAGGGAAGACUGCCCUAUGGGUUGUAAGCCUCUUUUGUCAGGGAGCAACGCCGGCCACGUGUAGCCGGACAGAGAGUAUCUGAAGAAAAAGCAUCGGCAACUACCGUGCCAGCGGCGGAGGUAUUAGGAGGAAUGGGGGGGUUUUCGGGAUUAAUGGGGUGUAAGGGAGGUUUAGGGGGUAUGUCAAGUCAGCGGGAAAGUCCGGGGGCUAAACCUCGCACUGCCGUUGAAACUGGCGGUCUGGAGUGGGGGAGAGGUAUGCGGAAUUCGUGGUGUAGCGGUGAAAUGCGUAGAUAUCACGAAGAACUCCGAUUGCGAAGGCAGCUUACCGGAGUGCAACUGACGCUGAGGCACGAAAGCGUGGGUAGCAAACAGGAUUAGAUACCCCAGUAGUC
RNAcentral lists this ribosomal RNA (460 nucleotides) under uncultured bacterium. RNAcentral describes it as "partial 16S ribosomal RNA". It matches the Rfam family "Bacterial small subunit ribosomal RNA", at positions 338 to 795 of the family's 1533-position model. The record is from RNAcentral.